This 480-nucleotide ribosomal RNA is filed under the name uncultured bacterium. Its description in RNAcentral is "SSU rRNA". It matches the Rfam family "Bacterial small subunit ribosomal RNA", at positions 26 to 521 of the family's 1533-position model. The record is from RNAcentral.
AGGACGAACGCUGGCGGCGUGCCUAACACAUGCAAGUCGAGCGGUAGAUAAAAGCUUGCUUUUAUCUAUAGCGGCGGACGGGUGAGUAACACGUGGGCAACCUACCUCAAAGUGGGGGAUAGCCUCCCGAAAGGGAGAUUAAUACCGCAUAACAUCAUGAUGUCUCCUGACAUUAUGAUCAAAGGAGUAAUCCGCUUUGAGAUGGGCCCGCGGCGCAUUAGCUAGUUGGUGAGGUAACAGCCCACCAAGGCAACGAUGCGUAGCCGACCUGAGAGGGUGAUCGGCCACAUUGGAACUGAGAUACGGUCCAGACUCCUACGGGAGGCAGCAGUGGGGAAUAUUGCGCAAUGGGGGAAACCCUGACGCAGCAACGCCGCGUGGGUGAUGAAGGUCUUCGGAUUGUAAAGCCCUGUCUUUUGGGACGAUAAUGACGGUACCAAAGGAGGAAGCCACGGCUAACUACGUGCCAGCAGCCGCGGU